CUGAAAGACCGAGAGAUCGUCUACUGCCUGGUGGUUUAUUUUGUCAUUAUCACGUUGCUGAACGUGAUAUUUCUAGGGCAUGUACGACUAUUUUACGAUUAUCCACCGGAAACAGCUGGUAAUUAAGCAGCUCGGCGGAACGAUAUCAGAUGGUGCCAAUUCGACCGGCGACCGCUAGAUGGCGCUACCAGCACAAUUUACAGUUGAAUGCGAUCGCGUCCGGACUUUAGAGGUAUUAAUUUGCAAGAUAAGUGAGAAGUAUUUCUCUGGUUAUCGGAAUUAACGAAGACAGCAUCACAGUAUAAGAAGAUAUACUGUGACAGCGUGGAGAUCGGUUGACAAUUUUUAACCUAACCUCAAAUCGAAGCUAGAUGGGUCUUCAACGGCACCUCCAAUUCAUCAGCCGCACGAUCUUCGUUCAGAACAACGAUGUGGAUAAGGCGUGCCGCACGUUAAAUCGUAUACUGUCCCAGGAAGACAUCUUCGGCCAGUACAGACGUACGAGGUACUAUGAGAAACCGACCUACGUCAGACGCAGAAUCAACUUUGAGAGGUGCAAGUCGAUCUAUAACGAGGACAUGGACAGAAAGAUCAAGUUUCUUCUACGUAAAAAUAGAAUAGAUCCUUUUCCCGGCGCGUCCUAAGAUUAUCGAUCCUACAACCUACACAACCUUAGAUCGCACAAUUGCAAAUCUAUCUACAAGCAGGCAGGUAUAAUUAAUUUAUGAAUAAACGCUACCAGAAAUAUAGAAAAUGUUUUGACGCAA
Molecule: RNA transcript, 767 nt
Organism: Solenopsis invicta (red fire ant)
Lineage: Eukaryota; Metazoa; Arthropoda; Insecta; Hymenoptera; Formicidae
Gene: mRpS21
Gene name: 28S ribosomal protein S21, mitochondrial
Exons: 4
Source: RefSeq, a predicted model, not a curated record